This 555-nucleotide ribosomal RNA is filed under the name uncultured Aspergillus. RNAcentral's name for it is "SSU rRNA". It matches the Rfam family "Eukaryotic small subunit ribosomal RNA", at positions 194 to 754 of the family's 1831-position model. Lineage: Eukaryota; Fungi; Ascomycota; Eurotiomycetes; Eurotiales; Aspergillaceae. The record is from RNAcentral.
GGGAGGGGUGUAUUUAUUAGAUAAAAAACCAAUGCCCCUCGGGGCUCCUUGGUGAAUCAUAAUAACUUAACGAAUCGCAUGGCCUUGCGCCGGCGAUGGUUCAUUCAAAUUUCUGCCCUAUCAACUUUCGAUGGUAGGAUAGUGGCCUACCACAGUGGCAACGGGUAACGGGGAAUUAGGGUUCGAUUCCGGAGAUUGAGCCUGAGAAACGGCUACCACAAGCAAGGAAGGCAGCAGGCGCGCAAAUUACCCAAUCCCGACACGGGGAGGUAGUGACAAUAAAUACUGAUACGGGGCUCUUUUGGGUCUCGUAAUUGGAAUGAGUACAAUCUAAAUCCCUUAACGAGGAACAAUUGGAGAACAAGUCUGGUGCCAGCAGCCGCGGUAAUUCCAGCGACAAUAGCGUAUAUUAAAGUUGUUGCAGUUAAAAAGCUCGUAGUUGAACCUUGGGUCUGGCUGGCCGGUCCGCCUCACCGCGAGUACUGGUCCGGCUGGACCUUUCCUUCUGGGGAAUCCCAUGGCCUUCACUGGCUGUGGGUGGAACCAGGACUUUUA